RNAcentral lists this small RNA (114 nucleotides) under Bradyrhizobium sp. ORS 278. RNAcentral describes it as "Rhizobiales sRNA Atu_At1". It matches the Rfam family "Rhizobiales sRNA Atu_At1". Lineage: Bacteria; Pseudomonadati; Pseudomonadota; Alphaproteobacteria; Hyphomicrobiales; Nitrobacteraceae. The record is from Rfam by way of RNAcentral.
GCAUGCCGGGUGACAACCGGCCGCAAUGGGGAACGGCGGACGCAGCUGAUUUUGCCGGUUUCUGGCUGCGACAUCAACGUAUUGGUGCGCGCUGACGCCUAACCUGUUCCCGGC